Hydnum rufescens UP504 is the source of this 73-nucleotide non-coding RNA. Lineage: Eukaryota; Fungi; Basidiomycota; Agaricomycetes; Cantharellales; Hydnaceae. The record is from the annotation of a GenBank genome assembly.
GCUGAAGUAGUUUAAAUGGUCAAAACAUACCACUCAUGACGGUAAAAAGAAGGUUCAACUCCUUUUUUCGGCU